UAGAGUUUGAUCCUGGCUCAGAUUGAACGCUGGCGGCAGGCCUAACACAUGCAAGUCGAACGGUAACAGGAAGCAGCUUGCUGCUUCGCUGACGAGUGGCGGACGGGUGAGUAAUGUCUGGGAAACUGCCCGGUGGAGGGGGAUAACUACUGGAAACGGUAGCUAAUACCGCAUAACGUCGCAAGACCAAAGAGGGGGACCUUCGGGCCUCUUGCCACCGGAUGUGCCCAGAUGGGAUUAGCUUGUUGGUGAGGUAACGGCUCACCAAGGCGACGAUCCCUAGCUGGUCUGAGAGGAUGACCAGCCACACUGGAACUGAGACACGGUCCAGACUCCUACGGGAGGCAGCAGUGGGGAAUAUUGCACAAUGGGCGCAAGCCUGAUGCAGCCAUGCCGCGUGUAUGAAGAAGGCCUUCGGGUUGUAAAGUACUUUCAGCGGGGAGGAAGGGAUUGUGGUUAAUAACCGCAGUCAUUGACGUUACCCGCAGAAGAAGCACCGGCUAACUCCGUGCCAGCAGCCGCGGUAAUACGGAGGGUGCAAGCGUUAAUCGGAAUUACUGGGCGUAAAGCGCACGCAGGCGGUCUGUCAAGUCGGAUGUGAAAUCCCCGGGCUCAACCUGGGAACUGCAUUCGAAACUGGCAGGCUUGAGUCUCGUAGAGGGGGGUGGAAUUCCAGGUGUAGCGGUGAAAUGCGUAGAGAUCUGGAGGAAUACCGGUGGCGAAGGCGGCCCCCUGGACGAAGACUGACGCUCAGGUGCGAAAGCGUGGGGAGCAAACAGGAUUAGAUCCCUGGUAGUCCACGCCGUAAACGAUGUCUACUUGGAGGUUGUGCCCCUGAGGCGUGGCUUCCGGAGCUAACGCGUUAAGUAGACCGCCUGGGGAGUACGGCCGCAAGGUUAAAACUCAAAUGAAUUGACGGGGGCCCGCACAAGCGGUGGAGCAUGUGGUUUAAUUCGAUGCAACGCGAAGAACCUUACCUGGUCUUGACAUCCACGGAAGACUGCAGAGAUGCGGUUGUGCCUUCGGGAGCCGUGAGACAGGUGCUGCAUGGCUGUCGUCAGCUCGUGUUGUGAAAUGUUGGGUUAAGUCCCGCAACGAGCGCAACCCUUAUCCUUUGUUGCCAGCGGUUAGGCCGGGAACUCAAAGGAGACUGCCAGUGAUAAACUGGAGGAAGGUGGGGAUGACGUCAAGUCAUCAUGGCCCUUACGACCAGGGCUACACACGUGCUACAAUGGCAUAUACAAAGAGAAGCGACCUCGCGAGAGCAAGCGGACCUCAUAAAGUAUGUCGUAGUCCGGAUUGGAGUCUGCAACUCGACUCCAUGAAGUCGGAAUCGCUAGUAAUCGUGGAUCAGAAUGCCACGGUGAAUACGUUCCCGGGCCUUGUACACACCGCCCGUCACACCAUGGGAGUGGGUUGCAAAAGAAGUAGGUAGCUUAACCUUCGGGAGGGCGCUUACCACUUUGUGAUUCAUGACUGGGGUGAAGUCGUAACAAGGUAACCGUAA
RNAcentral lists this ribosomal RNA (1507 nucleotides) under uncultured bacterium. RNAcentral's name for it is "bacterial SSU rRNA". It matches the Rfam family "Bacterial small subunit ribosomal RNA". The record is from RNAcentral.